UAGGCGGUAUGGGAGGCGCAUUCAUUGGAGGUUGAUCAUGGAGAUGACACGGAUCUGAGCGGAGUGAGUUGCUGGUCUGGAGGCGGAGGGGAAUCUCCGGCAGGUCUGGGCCUACGGCACUGGCACGAGCACUGCCGGCGGUGCUAUCCCGCGCCGGGUACCCGGGCGCGCAUCGCCGCUGGUUAUCUCCCACGCCGGCGGUGUUGUGCGGAUCCACCAAGGUAAAUAUAGUUGUUGAUUGGAAUGGCAUUGUCCCUUUUUUUAGUUUCGUGGGGAGUUCUAAAACCAAUUCGUUUUUUGGAUUUGGGGGCAUAACAGAAGGAUGAUUAGCCCGGAUGUCUCGGUUUCGUAGGUCAUAACAAGCAUAUGGAGAAGGGAGCUGAGUAGAUGCAUCGGUUGCUGGAUUGGGAAGGGUAGGGGAAACAUGAGAUUCCGGCGGAGCGGCAGGCGGACAUAGAAGUGCACCGCCAACGAGGAGAUCAGCAGCCGGUGGGUGUUCUCUCGAACCAUCAGGUAAAUCUGUGUUCAUUGACUUUGGGGGCGAACCCUAUAUUGCAGUUUGGGGAUUUUUAAGUUGCAGGUGCCACCGCAGGUUAGAUUUGUGAGUGGACUAGCCCUUAUGUAUCUUCUAUGUAGCCCGAGUUCAGGUGCGUCUUGCAACGGCAUCAUGCAGGUACGGAAUCCAGAGAACAUCAUCUGUAAUGGAAAAGCAGAUGACAUGGGUUUGGUUUGUGGGGUGCAAAUCACAUAGGGUUUCGCAAUUGCUUAUUUUCCGUAGUGAUCCAUUCUGCGUGCCUUGGUCAGUCCAACCUGGAUAAUCAUGCAGGUACUGUAUUCUUGCCCCAGUAUCAGUCGCAGUGUACAUGGGCUUGGUUGUGAAAGGUGUACAGAAAGUGGGUAGUUCUUGGGGUAGAUGACUAGAUUUUGCAGAUUGCAUCUCUGAUGUGCAAAGUACAGCCAUGUACUCCUUGGAUGCAAGAUACAACAUUGGUUGUUUUUGUUCAGUGGAGAGUGCGACACGAUUGAUGAUGUGUGUAGCACGAUUACGACAUUACCUCCUUGUCCAUCUAUUUUAAUGUUUAUGGAAAUUAUAUUGAUGUGAAGGUUGUUGGCUAUAAUUGGGAUUGAGGGGCUUAACCUGUCAGCAGUAUCGUACUUGGAAGUACCACAAAAAUGCAUGUUUCACCGUAUCUGCCAGCGGCUCCGUUUAUACUAUUCACGGCAUAUUCUUGAUUUAUCUCUGUUUUGUUUUUG
Molecule: long non-coding RNA, 1254 nt
Filed under: Triticum aestivum (bread wheat)
Lineage: Eukaryota; Viridiplantae; Streptophyta; Magnoliopsida; Poales; Poaceae
Description: long non-coding RNA (TAES_LNC022715)
Source: RNAcentral